This 496-nucleotide unclassified non-coding RNA is filed under the name uncultured Paraglomus. RNAcentral's name for it is "SSU rRNA". It matches the Rfam family "Eukaryotic small subunit ribosomal RNA", at positions 591 to 1092 of the family's 1831-position model. The record is from RNAcentral. Lineage: Eukaryota; Fungi; Glomeromycota; Glomeromycetes; Paraglomerales; Paraglomeraceae.
CCAAUAGCGUAUAUUAAAGUUGUUGUGGUUAAAAAGCUCGUAGUUGAACCUUGGGCCUGGCUGGCCGGUCCGCCUCACCGCGUGUACUGGUCCGGCCGGGCCUUUCCCUCUGUGGAACCUCAUGCCCUUCACUGGGUGUGACGGGGAAGCAGGACUUUUACUGUGAAAAAAUUAGAGUGCUCCAAGCAGGCCUAUGCUCGAAUACAUUAGCAUGGAAUAAUGAAAUAGGACGUGCGGUUCUAUUUUGUUGGUUUCUAGGACCGCCGUAAUGAUUAAUAGGGACAGUCGGGGGCAUCAGUAUUCAAUUGUCAGAGGUGAAAUUCUUGGAUUUAUUGAAGACUAACUACUGCGAAAGCAUUUGCCAAGGAUGUUUUCAUUAAUCAGGAACGAAAGUUAGGGGAUCGAAGACGAUCAGAUACCGUCGUAGUCUUAACCAUAAACUAUGCCGACUAGGGAUCGGACGAUGUUGUUUCAAUGACUCGCUCGGCACCUUAUG